CCUUAAACUUUGAUAACUUACAAUUCUCUCCGCCAGGGAACUACGAGCGCUAGCUUAAAACCCAAAAGACUUGGCGGUGCCCUACACCCACCUAGAGGAGCCUGUUCUAUAAUCGAUACCCCCCGCUUUACCUCACCAAUUUUUGCCAAAUCCGCCUGUAUACCGCCGUCGCCAACUUACCCUUUGAAGGUCAAAAAGUAAGUAUAAUGGUCUCUCACCAGAACGUCAGGUCAAGGUGCAGCGAAUGAAUUGGAUAGAAAUGGGCUACAUUUUCUACUUUAGAAAAUACGGAAAAUCACUAUGAAACCUGAUUAGAAGGCGGAUUUAGCAGUAAAAAGAAACCAGAACGUUCUUUUUAAUCUGGCCCUAGGGCGCGCACACACCGCCCGUCGCCCUCCUCGAUUUAAAUCUCAAUUAAAUAAAACCCUAAACAUAACCCUAGAGGAGGUAAGUCGUAACAUGGUAAGUAUACCGGAAGGUGUGCUUGGAAUCAAAAUGUAGCUUAACCUAAAGCUUUUCGCUUACACCGAAACAAUGUCUGUGAAAACCAGAUCAUUUUGACGCCACCUUUCUAGCCCAACCCAAUACCUUAUAAACCCCCUCACAACCCUAAUAAACUUAAUAAAUCAUUCUAAAUCCCAAGUAUAGGCGAUAGAAACGGAACCCGGAGCAAUAUAAAUAGUACCGCAAGGGAAAGAUGAAAUAGAAAUGAAACAAAUAAUUUAAGCACAAAAAAGCAAAGACUAAAUCUUG
This 753-nucleotide unclassified non-coding RNA is filed under the name Pelobates cultripes (western spadefoot toad). RNAcentral describes it as "partial contains 12S ribosomal RNA, tRNA-Val and 16S ribosomal RNA". The stretch from base 1 to 500 matches the Rfam family "Bacterial small subunit ribosomal RNA", at positions 840 to 1533 of the family's 1533-position model. The record is from RNAcentral. Lineage: Eukaryota; Metazoa; Chordata; Amphibia; Anura; Pelobatidae.